CCCUGGUUAGCCCAGUUGGUAGAGCGCUCCACUGGAAAUGGAGAGGUCCCGGGUUCGAUACCCGGACAACGCG
RNAcentral lists this transfer RNA (73 nucleotides) under Ixodes scapularis (black-legged tick). It matches the Rfam family "tRNA". Rfam says of the family: Transfer RNA (tRNA) molecules are approximately 80 nucleotides in length. Lineage: Eukaryota; Metazoa; Arthropoda; Arachnida; Ixodida; Ixodidae. The record is from Rfam by way of RNAcentral.